GCUUUCCCUCCAGAGUGGAUCCUGAGUACGGCGGAACACGUGAAAUUCCGUCGGAAUCCGGGAGGACCAUCUCCCAAGGCUAAAUACUCCCUAGUGACCGAUAGGGAACCAGUACCGUGAGGGAAAGGUGAAAAGCACCCCGGAAGGGGAGUGAAACAGUUCCUGAAACCGGGUGCCUACAAGUAGUUAGAGCCCGUUAAUGGGUGAUAGCGUGCCUUUUGUAGAAUGAACC
RNAcentral lists this ribosomal RNA (232 nucleotides) under Listeria monocytogenes. Its description in RNAcentral is "partial 23S ribosomal RNA". It matches the Rfam family "Bacterial large subunit ribosomal RNA", at positions 387 to 621 of the family's 2925-position model. The record is from RNAcentral. Lineage: Bacteria; Bacillati; Bacillota; Bacilli; Caryophanales; Listeriaceae.